CAGAGAUCAGCUGUGAUUAUCUGGCAGCAGCACUGAAGUCCAACCCAUCGUAUCCCAGAGUGCUGGACCUGAGUGGAACCUACAACAACCUGCAGGAUUCAGGAGUGAAGCAGCUGUGUGUUCUUCUGGAGAAUCCACGAUGUCGAUUUGAAACUCUGAGACUGAGUCACUGUGACCUGUCAGAGAGAAGCUGUGAAGCUCUGUCCUCAGGUCUCAGCUCUCAGACCUCUAAUCUGAGAGAGCUGGACCUGAGUAACAUUAACCUGAAGGAUUCAGGCGUGAAGCUUCUGUCUGAAGGACUGAAGAGUCCACACUGUACACUGGAAACUCUCAGUCUGUCAGGCUGUCUGAUCACAGAGGAAGGAAG
This is a long non-coding RNA of Pelmatolapia mariae (spotted tilapia), 367 nucleotides long. RefSeq lists it as uncharacterized. Lineage: Eukaryota; Metazoa; Chordata; Actinopteri; Cichliformes; Cichlidae. The transcript is spliced from 3 exons. The record is from RefSeq and is a predicted model, not a curated record.